RNAcentral lists this long non-coding RNA (606 nucleotides) under Ixodes scapularis (black-legged tick). Its description in RNAcentral is "uncharacterized LOC120838842". Lineage: Eukaryota; Metazoa; Arthropoda; Arachnida; Ixodida; Ixodidae. The record is from RNAcentral.
UUUCAGGUGGCAGUUGCACUGAUCUUCCCAACAUUGCCCCCUGGCUGGCAUGACUGGCAGAGCAGCAAGGAUGGCUCAUUCUCCCUAGCUGGCAGUCGCACUGAUCUUCUCAACAUUGUCCCCUGGCUGGUAUGACUGGCAGAGCAGCAAGGAUGGCUCGUUUUCCCUAGGUUACGUGAUGCUGCGCACAUAGUGAUGAUUUCAACUACCCAACGAGGCAUAGGGAUUGUCUUUUUCUUUCAGCAGUGUUGCGAGUCUUUAUUUGGGCGGUGUUGUACCUGAAUGAGUUAAUAAAUGUUACGAGUCAGAGAGACAAUAUAUGAUGUUUUCAAGAAUUUGACAAAUUAUCAUCCCAACAUCUUCAUUAUGGAGGUUGCAUGCAGAUAAUAUGUGCAUGGGUGUGAAGUUUAGUGCGAGUGAACAAUCAUAAAAAAGGUCAACUCAUUUUGUCUCGCCUUUUUUGCAGUGGAAGAAUUGUGAUGUAUUUUUUUCUUCACGAGGCAAUAAUAUUUUGAUUGUGGAGUGGGCACAAAAGUGUUGUGCCCGCGAAUCGAGCUUGGUGCAAGCCUGUGCAUAGUAAUAAAUCUUUUAGAGCAAAAAAAAAAA